CGGGCGKCCUAUAAUGCAGUCGAGCGAAUGGAUUGAGAGCUUGCUCUMAGGAAGUUAGCGGCGGACGGGUGAGUAACACGUGGGUAACCUGCCCAUAAGACUGGGAUAACUCCGGGAAACCGGGGCUAAUACCGGAUAACAUUUUGAACUGCAUGGUUCGAAAUUGAAAGGCGGCUUCGGCUGUCACUUAUGGAUGGACCCGCGUCGCAUUAGCUAGUUGGUGAGGUAACGGCUCACCAAGGCAACGAUGCGUAGCCGACCUGAGAGGGUGAUCGGCCACACUGGGACUGAGACACGGCCCAGACUCCUACGGGAGGCAGCAGUAGGGAAUCUUCCGCAAUGGACGAAAGUCUGACGGAGCAACGCCGCGUGAGUGAUGAAGGCUUUCGGGUCGUAAAACUCUGUUGUUAGGGAAGAACAAGUGCUAGUUGAAUAAGCUGGCACCUUGACGGUACCUAACCAGAAAGCCACGGCUAACUACGUGCCAGCAGCCGCGGUAAUACGUAGGUGGCAAGCGUUAUCCGGAAUUAUUGGGCGUAAAGCGCGCGCAGGUGGUUUCUUAAGUCUGAUGUGAAAGCCCACGGCUCAACCGUGGAGGGUCAUUGGAAACUGGGAGACUUGAGUGCAGAAGAGGAAAGUGGAAUUCCAUGUGUAGC
RNAcentral lists this ribosomal RNA (656 nucleotides) under Firmicutes bacterium SL-6. RNAcentral describes it as "bacterial SSU rRNA". It matches the Rfam family "Bacterial small subunit ribosomal RNA", at positions 40 to 679 of the family's 1533-position model. Lineage: Bacteria; Bacillati; Bacillota. The record is from RNAcentral.